Molecule: ribosomal RNA, 206 nt
Filed under: uncultured Streptococcus sp.
Lineage: Bacteria; Bacillati; Bacillota; Bacilli; Lactobacillales; Streptococcaceae
Description: partial 16S ribosomal RNA
Rfam family: Bacterial small subunit ribosomal RNA
Source: RNAcentral
UGACGUCAAUCAUCAUGCCCUUACUGACCUGGGCUACACACGUGCUACAAUGGUUGGUACAACGAGUUGCGAGUCGGUGACGGCGAGCUAAUCUCUUAAAGCCAAUCUCAGUUCGGAUUGUAGGCUGCAACUCGCCUACAUGAAGUCGGAAUCGCUAGUAAUCGCGGAUCGGAGCACGCCCGCGGUCGAAUACGUUCCCGGGCCUU